CCUACGGGAGGCAGCAGUGGGGAAUAUUGGACAAUGGGGGGAACCCUGAUCCAGCCAUGCCGCGUGUGUGAAGAAGGCCCUCGGGUUGUAAAGCACUUUCAGUGAGGAAGAACGCCUGGUGGUUAAUACCCAUCAGGAAAGACAUCACUCACAGAAGAAGCACCGGCUAACUCCGUGCCAGCAGCCGCGGUAAUACGGAGGGUGCGAGCGUUAAUCGGAAUUACUGGGCGUAAAGCGCGCGUAGGUGGCUUGAUAAGCCGGUUGUGAAAGCCCCGGGCUCAACCUGGGAACGGCAUCCGGAACUGUCAAGCUAGAGUGUAGGAGAGGAAGGUAGAAUUCCCGGUGUAGCGGUGAAAUGCGUAGAGAUCGGGAGGAAUACCAGUGGCGAAGGCGGCCUUCUGGACUGACACUGACACUGAGGUGCGAAAGCGUGGGUAGCAAACAGGAUUAGAUACCCCGGUAGUC
RNAcentral lists this ribosomal RNA (465 nucleotides) under Vreelandella stevensii. RNAcentral's name for it is "partial 16S ribosomal RNA". It matches the Rfam family "Bacterial small subunit ribosomal RNA", at positions 338 to 795 of the family's 1533-position model. Lineage: Bacteria; Pseudomonadati; Pseudomonadota; Gammaproteobacteria; Oceanospirillales; Halomonadaceae. The record is from RNAcentral.